RNAcentral lists this ribosomal RNA (493 nucleotides) under uncultured soil bacterium. Its description in RNAcentral is "bacterial SSU rRNA". It matches the Rfam family "Bacterial small subunit ribosomal RNA", at positions 26 to 516 of the family's 1533-position model. The record is from RNAcentral.
AGAUUGAACGCUGGCGGCAGGCCUAACACAUGCAAGUCGAGCGGUAGAGAGGUGCUUGCACCUCUUGAGAGCGGCGGACGGGUGAGUAAUGCCUAGGAAUCUGCCUAGUGGUGGGGGAUAACGUUCGGAAACGGACGCUAAUACCGCAUACGUCCUACGGGAGAAAGCGGGGGACCUUCGGGCCUCGCGCCAUUAGAUGAGCCUAGGUCGGAUUAGCUAGUUGGUGAGGUAAUGGCUCACCAAGGCGACGAUCCGUAACUGGUCUGAGAGGAUGAUCAGUCACACUGGAACUGAGACACGGUCCAGACUCCUACGGGAGGCAGCAGUGGGAAUAUUGGACAAUGGGCGAAAGCCUGAUCCAGCCAUGCCGCGUGUGUGAAGAAGGUCUUCGGAUUGUAAAGCACUUUAAGUUGGAGGAAGGCAGUUACUAAUACGUAUCUGUUUUGACGUUACCGACAGAAUAAGCACCGGACUAACUCUAAUGCCAGCAGUA